Long non-coding RNA from Rosa chinensis, 2222 nucleotides. RefSeq lists it as uncharacterized. NCBI's taxonomy places the organism in Eukaryota, Viridiplantae, Streptophyta, Magnoliopsida, Rosales, Rosaceae. The record is from RefSeq and is a predicted model, not a curated record. The transcript is spliced from 7 exons.
GGAGUAUUGCCGUCUUUGUGUAAUCAAAACCGCUACGACAUUUCGCCAAAAAUUAAAUCUCCUUCUCAGUCCCUCCCUCACUCUUAUCUUUCUCUCUCCGUCAAAAGAUUCGAGAAAUCUCAAACCAUUACCAGCUCCUCGCCAAAAUCAAGUCACUCUCCGUCUCCGAGAUCACACCCCCUCAGCUCUCCAGCCUCUCAAUUGUCAAAUCCGCCUCCACCUCCAUCUCCUCCUUCGCCUCCACCUCCGCCUUCGCCUUCGACAGUGAGCCAUCGGAGGCGGAGCUCCAGAAGUUCGGCGUCUACGAUAUCAGAGACUUUGUCAAGGGAUUCACUUCUGAAUUUUUUGAUUCGGUUCUUCAAAUGCGCACCAUUUCGAUGGAAUAGUUAACUCUCUAAUCCUUGAUGCUCUGCACUUCGCUCCUCACAGCUCAUCGAUGGCAUAGAUGGCGUAGGAUUUGAUUAAAUUUUCUGUUCUAGCUUUGUCUGUGAUGGCGUAGAUAGCCCCUAUGUUCGCAAAUUCAAUCAAGAGGUCCAAACGGUGCUGCUGCUGGUGUUGGUGUCCAGCACUCUCAACAUGGUAUGCUGCCGUCCUGGGUUGAAAGUUUUGACCCCUUAUUCAUUUGAAGAUGCUCAUGGACUGCUAAAAGCUGCCAUUAGGGACCCUGAUCGUGUUGUUUUUCUUGAAAAUGAGUUGCUGAAUCAAUGCCGGAGAUGUUGAAGCUUCAGGACGCAGGGAUCUACAUCUGGCAACUUCACCAAGAAGGUAAAGCAAACUUCACCUCCGAAUUUUUGGAAGUGUAAAUGUUCAAGUUGGAUUUCCUUACAUUGAUUCUUGUUUGGUAGAACUUGACUGGAAUUAAAUGUUUCAAAGUCGAUAAGAUUUAUAAAGCUGCUGAGAAGAUAGUGAUUAGUGCUCAAACUUGUCAUAAUCUGAAAUCCAUUGUCUUCAUCAGGUACUUAUUUUUAGUUUCAUAAUUUGCUCUAUACUCUACAAAGCAAUUCAUUGGUGUGUGUGUGUCAAUACAGCUUCUGGCACAAUGACAAGUCUGCAUUACAAUUUUAUUUUUUGCACAAGUAUUGUGGCUAAUGCAAGAGGCUCAAGCACCUGUUCGGUAUUCCCACUGGUUCAAUUUCUUCUUAAUAUCUAGAUGUAGUUGAAAUCCAUGUACUUCUGAACUUACAAAAAAAAAUUUUGAGAUAUACUCGGUAUGCAGGAAAGGUUCACACAAUAGUCUCUGUAGUGGUUUGAUUGCAAAGAAGCAAUAUAUUCGUUAUAAUAAUGUCAUAGAUUCUCUUUUGUUUUAGUUUAUUGUUCUUAAUUUGGUUGUAAAUUUGUAUUUCCAUUUGCACUAUUUGUUACAAUACUGAUAACUGGAAGUUGAUGUACAAGUAAUCAAAGAGGUUUGUUGAGGCUAGAGUAAAUGAAGCUAAGGUAAUCUGCAAUUGAUGUGUGGAUGGAAUUCGCUGCUAAAAUAGGUCUCUGCAAAUUCUCAGUUCCCUUGUAUUAUAUUAUAUCAUUAAUAGUCAUUCACCCAUCCGCAAACUUGUGUCACUUUUCUUUAAAUUCACAUUCACCAAUGAGGAUAAAGCACUCUUUUCUUUCUUGCAGGUGGUGUUGAAUCCUUUGGGAAAUUGAGAAGUUGAGAUCUGAAUUGCUGAAGCACUCCCUUAUUAUAGGCAGUUAAGUGACAGGGUUUACUAUUAGAAAAUAAGCCUGAGGAAGCUGCUGCCAUCAAUCACAUAUUAAAUCAGUUCCAACUUCAAUGGGGACACAAGAGGCAUCCGUAAGUGUUGAAAUUUAUCAUGAAGAUCCAAAGUGAAGUUGGUCUCUUAAGAAACAAGAUGUCUUUCAAGUGGAAUGUGCUGUGAAUGUUUGAGGCAAUCCACCCCUAUGUACUUUAGGUUCAUUUUUUUUAUUGGUUUUGCUAUAAGCUUCAUUUGUGAUUGCUUCCACAACAUUUGUUUGUAUACUACUCAACUUUUUUUAUAAGUGAAGGUUCUUUGCAACAAGCAAAGAAUUAAGACAGAUUUGUUAUUCUUCUUAUUUAUAAAACUUUUGGGUGAUAUUGGAACAAUAAAGAAUUGAUUUUUUUUUAUUGAAAAAAUUGAGUUUACAGCGUGCAAAGUAUGCCUUAAACUAAAUUUUACGGCGUGCUUUUUGGUCAUUUACGGCGUGCAAAGCAAAUUUUAUUGCGUGCUUUUGGGUCAUAUGCACGCCGU